This 408-nucleotide ribosomal RNA is filed under the name uncultured bacterium. RNAcentral's name for it is "partial 16S ribosomal RNA". It matches the Rfam family "Bacterial small subunit ribosomal RNA", at positions 28 to 526 of the family's 1533-position model. The record is from RNAcentral.
GACGAACGCUGGCGGCGUGCUUAACACAUGCAAGUCGAACGAAGUGGCGAACGGGUGAGUACUACGUGGGUAACCUGCCCUCCUUUUUGGGAUAAGCCUUGGAAACGGGGUAUAAUACCGAAUAAAGGGGGAUGGGCUCGCGGCCUAUCAGCUUGUUGGGGGGUGGAUGGCCUACGAUGGCGGUGAGGGGUAGCCGGCCUGAGAGGGUGACCGGCCACAUUGGGACUGAGAGACGGCCCAGGCUCCUACGGGAGGGAGAAGUGGGGGAUAUUGCACAAUGGGCGAAAGCCUGAUGCGGGGACGCCGCGUGGGGGAUGAAGGCUUUCGGGUUGUAAACCUGUGUCGCUAUCGAGCGGGUAGGUGGAGAAGAAGCGCCGGCUAACUACGUGCCAGCAGCCGCGGUAAUAC